Molecule: long non-coding RNA, 10301 nt
Filed under: Brassica rapa (field mustard)
Lineage: Eukaryota; Viridiplantae; Streptophyta; Magnoliopsida; Brassicales; Brassicaceae
Description: long non-coding RNA (BRAP_LNC005514)
Source: RNAcentral
AUCGUAGCUAGUACACGUCGUUUCUCAAAGUUACCACGUCCAACGUAAAACGAUCUUAGUAUACACUUAUACACGCACAUAAUAUCACGGCACUCUCAUCAUUUAUAAUCUCUCACAAACUGGGACACGGCUCCUUAGUCCCUUAUUGAAUUUUAAAUAAAAUACAGAACUUAAGGCACACACACAUUUUAUUCCUCGGACAAGAGAUGUUCGUCAAUCUCUUUGGACAUUUCGACCCAUAACUGGAGGAGAGUCUCGGGAUGAGCAACCUCCUCGCUAAUUUUCUCGUACUCAAAGUGCCAGUGCACAAUACUCCCUGUCCCACCAUGCUUAGGGGUCACCUGGAUCGUGGCCAAGAAGCUUUUGUACUCUUUCAUCAGAUCACCUUCUAUAACCCUAAACGAGAUCAGGUUCUUCUCCGGAUCCACCUCUUCGAUCCUCUCCUUUGCCACCUUUGCCUCUCCAUCUGCAACAGUUAUUAGUAGUUAAUGUUUAAGUUUUGAGAAUCGACAGAAAUAGUCAUUGCAAAAAUCUUACAAAAAUAGUCAUUGCAACAGUUAUAUAUUAGUAGUUAAUGUUUAAGUUUUGAGUUUUGCCUGCCUCUCCUCUCGUCUCUUGUUAGUCAUUGCAAAAAUCUUACAAGGCCUCUACAUUCUCAAAAUUUUAAUUUAAGUAAAAUUAUAUAGAAUAGCGUUAACUUGCCAUGAAAGUAGUUCCAGAAGAUGAUAGAGCCGGGUUUGCCCCAAUCUCCCUCGUGCAAUUCACAGUUCUGAAUGUUGCCUGGAGAUACUUUGGAAACAUGGUGCGGUUUCGCGGUGAACAUGUGAUGAAACUUCUCAGCGGAAGCUUUGAUCUCCACGUAUGCCUCAACCAUCCCCAACAAGCUAGACGUCUCUGUUGUCUUCACCUCCUCUUCUGCCUGUUUAUUUGUGGCCUCAACCUUUUUAGGAGGACAUGCCACCGCCACCUUGGUCUCCGCUUCUUCGGCGCUUGUAGUCUCCACCGUCAUAGUUGGUGCCACGGUCACCGGCGUCUCCACCUUUUCCUCCAUUUCUUGGUAGUUUCAGUAGCAACCCCGCCCUUCUGUCCCUUGCUGAUUUGGUUAGAAAAUUAGAGGUUUUAUGAGAGUGUGCUAUUCUUUUUAUGAGUGAGUUCUCUUUGGAAUUCUAUACCCCUUUAUAUAGAGGAAUGAGUAGGAAACUAUCGAAGAAAAAUACACAUUUUUUUUGUGACCAAAAACCAUCAUUCAUUAUGACCAUUAUUUUCAUUAAAUUUUUUCACCUACUCUUUUCAAUGCGUGUCUAGAUUUUCUUUUGUAAAUAUUCACAUACUUAUAUUAAAUGCCCAAGGGUUAGGCGAUCGUCAUUAAUACAAUUUUAUCUGCCAAAGCUCUCUUUGCUAAUUCAUAUGCUUCAUUGUUCCUCACACGAGAGAUCCAACGAAACAAGAUAAACUCAAAGGAAGAUGCAGUAGAUUUGAUAUCGGCUACAAUGCCAUAGAUUUCCGCACUUGCGUCAGCUUGGAUGAGCUGAGAAGAAUCCGAUUCGAACACAUAUCAAUAAAUCACAAAGCAGAAUGCUUAAUUUAUUUAUCAAACACUUAUGAUUUCAUUAUUAAACAAACAUUUCACACAUCAAUUUUGAGUAGCUUCAUAGCUGAUGCUGCUACACUUAGCUUCUCAAAAAUAACAACUUCCAAACACUCAUGACACAUAUCUCUUUACAAACUCGGACAAGGCGGCUCCUGGGUCCUUAUUUAUAGCAAAUUCAAAGACUGGACUUUAAGGCAAACACACAAAUAGAAGUAUGGAUAUAUAGAAUUGAAAGAAGAAAAUUAUUCUUCUAUUCUUCGGACAUGAGAUGUGCAUCGAUCUCUUUGGAGACCUCGACGGCAAACUGGAGGAGAGUCUCAGGGUGAGCCACCUGCUCAUUAAUUUUCUCGUACUCAAAGUGCCAAUGUAAAACGCUUCCAGGUUCUCCUUCCUUAGGAGUCACUUGAAAGGUGACCACGAAACUCUUGUACUCGUUCAUUAAAUCACCCUCUAACACCCUGUACGUGGCCCGAUUGUUCUCCGGGUCUAUUGACUCGAUCCUCUCUUUCAUUACUCUUGCCUCCCCAUCUGAUCAUAUAUAACACAUUGACACAUAAUUAUCGGUUUGAGAUUGUUUGAAAUCUUGCAUCUGAACAAGAUCAGACAUAAUGUGUAAAAUAAUAUAUAAGGAUGGAUCAAUCCACCCGUUUCAAAUUGGUUUCCUUCAAAAGUUGAUAUAUUUUAAUAUAGAUUCGCUGUGCAUGUAUUCACAUAAUUAGAUAAUUAUAACGCUGACUUGCCAUGAAAGUAAUUCCAGGUUACGAUAGAACCAACUUGGCCAAUCUCGCCUUCAUGCAGCUCACAGCCAUGAACUAAGGAUGGAGAAGCACUGGGGAUAUGGUGCUUUUUCCCGACAAGCAUGUCAUGCAACUUCUCCGGCGUAGAUUUUACCUCUACGGUUGUCUCAAUGAUCCCGACCAAACUUGAUGCUUCUUCUGCCAUUCUUGAUCUUUCGAUAAUUUGCAAAUGUGUCUUUUGGAUUUUGCGUUUUGAGAAUGAAUGUGUUCCCUUCUAAGCUCUUCACACUCCCUUUAAAUAGAAGAACGAAUAAAGCGAGAAAUACACUGGAAUUUAUUUUAUUACUUUAUAAAUUUGAUUAGUUCUUUCUUCUCUUUGAUCACAUCAACCCAUCUGGCGCUAAUUGAUAAGACUGGAUUAUAAGAUAAUUUAUUUAAAAAAACUGUAAACGGUAAAGCUAUAUAAAAUACGUUCGUAGCUCGUGUCAUACAUAAUAUUUUGAAUAAGUAUUAUUAGUGGGAAAGCAGUUAGUUUAGUGAGUCUUAAGAAAAUAAGAUAAAACGAGGUGGUUUAGGGUUUCAUAAAUCAUGAACCAUAUGGGGGUUUGUAAACAUUUUCAUUCUUCUGCAUUAAAUAUGAAAGCCUUUGUUUCAAAAAAAAAAAAAACUAAGGGAUUACGAAGUGCAACCAUCGGUUUGCAUCUACAAUAUACACUGUUUGUGUCAAUUUAAUUAGACAUAAAUCAUAAUUCGGAGCUUGGAAGAGUACUUUCAAGAUAACCUAAGAAAACUCCGGCUCAACACUGUUAAGGGUUUUAGGGCAAACAUUUUUUUUUACUCUUUAAAAUUUAUAUGCAGAUAAUGUUUAAAAUAUUUUUAAAAUUUAAUCAGUAAUAUUUUAUAAUAAAAAUAAAAGUAUAUACAUAUCAAAUAAUUUUAGACCCUUUUCAAUUUUUGUUAUAUAUAAAAAUACAAAUUUAUAAAAAAUUUGACCCCUUAAUUAUUAUGAUACGGAGGACACGGACUUGUACCUGGGACGGUUGCACUGGUUGUUCCCCAAGUAAACCGGCCCUGCGUGUAUAUAUAUAUAUAUAAUAUGUAUGUAAUUGUAGAAUAUAUUUUACGGCAGAACCUCUCCAUUGAAGGUGCUUUAAAAAUGGUAUAGCGUGGAUGUGACUGAAACUAUAUUUAAAAAAAAAAUCAUUCAAGUUAUUCGAUGACUCAAUUCAUUUCAGUUUUAAAUUGAUAUAUAUUUUUUUUUUUUACUUUUUUUGAAAAAUUCUUUAAAUUGAUAAAUUUUUUGAAAAGUUCUUACUCCGAAAAUAUAAAGAUUUUUUUUGUCCAUAUAGAAUUCAUAUAUCUGGAUAAUCCCUAAAUAAUCUUCCUUUUGUCAAUCCUACAAGAUCAUAUCUUUUGUAAAGGGGUACACGUUAUUACAUAUUUUUAAAAGAUAAACUAGAUUUUGACCCGCGCUUUUCAAGCGCGGGGUUGUUGGAUUAUAUUAUAAUACAAAAUUUUAUUAUAUCGAAAAACAUAAUUUUUAACAGCUAUAUAAUCUACAAAUUAGUUUAUUUGAGAUUUUAUAUGUACACUUUUACGUAAGUUUCUUUUCGACAUGAGAAUUAUAUCCGGAUCAAAAAACAAACCGAACAGACCCAAAAUUAUAGGUUUAGUUUAGGUUCAGAGAAGAUAACCUAUUGGGUUUUUUUGACCCGCAGGUCUUUGUUUGAGUCUGGGUCCUACCCUAGACCCGAUCAUAAAUAUGUGUUUAUUAGGUAUAUUUGGAUAUUCCGAAUAUGUUUCCGGUAUUAUGGAUAUUGUUUUUAAGUUUUUGGUUUACGAUUAGAGUUUUGAUUUCAGGUAAAUUUUUCAAAUUAAAAAAAAAAAUUGGGUAUUUGGAUAAAAUUUUGGGUAUUUUUCAGUUCAUCGUGUCAGAUUUUGAAUAAGAUUUUAAAUUUUUAGGUAUUUGAAUUUUUUUGGUAUUUGUUUGGAGUUUCAAAUACUUUUCGUGUUUCAGAUUUUUUCAGAUUUUUCAUAUAUUUCAAAUUCUUUUAGGAUCUUAAAUACCCGAACAGAUGUGGAACCAUUACAUCCAUAUCAGGUCCAACAACCUUUUGAUAUAGAUUUUUAACGUUAUUAUACAAAAACAUGGUUGAUGAAAUAUUUUUCUGUGUAAAGGUAUCAUAAGAAAUAAUAUUAAGAUCUGUUAAAAAUAUUUAAAAUAUUGUAUGUUUAGAAUGAUUAAUGUAUUAUAAGAAAAAUAAUAAAUAGUUAUACAUAACUCCAACAACUUUUUUAUAUUAGAUUUUUUAAAAUUGUUUCCUUUUUAAUAGUAUUGAUUCAUUUUAAGUGAAAAGUAUAUAAAAGUAUAAUAUCUAAAUAAAUAAUUUUCAAAAUCUUGAAUAAUCAGUACUGAUAUCGUGAAGUCAUGUUAACUUUAAUAGAACCAAUGAAUUUCUUUAUUUUUGUGAAGGUAACAUGAAUAUUCAGAAAAAUCAUUUUUAAAUAUAAAUAUAUUAUCAAACUAUAGACGGUUGAAAGUUUAGUAUAUGAUAUGAGAUUUUAGUGGGAAAGUUUAUAUAUGAUGUUAUUACUUUAUUAUAAACGAAAGAAGAAGUUAGAAUGUACUCAUAUAUGUCUUGUAAUUUAUCUUGCUUUAAAUCAUAUAUUAUAUGAUAAAAGUGAUGAUAUAAGACAUUAGUUUCAAUGCUUUACGAUUAAAAAUCAAAAUGAUAAAUAUAGUAAUAGUAGUGAUUAGGAUUAGGAUUUAGGAGUGAUAUUUAAAUAAAUAAAAGAAUUGACUAAAUUAUUGUUAGAGAAAUAUAUGGUAACAUAUUGUUAGUAUAAAUUUAAGGUAAGACCAAAAAAUAAUAAGUUAAAUGAAAGGGUCCAAACAACUUUUAUAGGUAGAUUUUUUUAGACUCCUUCCCUUGUAAUAGUAUUGAUAAGCAUUAUUAUAAAUUGAGAAAGAUUGUUUAUCCCGCAGCUGCAUCUCUUGAAAAGGAACAGAAACCUUUUUUUUUCGGUCAAAAUUCAGAAUUUAAAAUAUCUCCCGUUCUGUCUAUAGUAAGGUCCAAAUUUGUUUUUAAUAUGUUUGUUCACUAACCAAUAGGUCAUAGCUGUUUUGACUUUUGAUCAAAUAUAUACAUCAAUCGUCAUUAUUGUAAAUUAUAUAUGUUUGGUAUGACAUAAAAUAAUGUCUACUAGGCAACGUGUGGACAAUUUGAUAAAGUUUGAUAAAGUCACAAUCCGAUACUUCUUUCAAAAAAAAGUCACAAUCGGAUAUUGAUUUUAAUUAAUCAAUUUUGUAAAGUCUAUGGAGAAUUUGAUAUUAAUCAAAUCACAAUAUAUUUUUUGUUCAUUUUGAUUAGGCCUAAUUUUGAUGGAUCAUGUUUUAGUGAGGCUACUAAAGAUUUUAUGCUCAGGUAUAGAACUUCAAAUUAUCAAUUAUAGAGUCACUUAGAUAUGAUGUGCGUUGUAUGAGGCUAUACCAUAGGAAUUGAUUAUGAAUAUUAUAUAAUUUGAGAUAUACAAAUUUAACUAUUAAUGAAGUAUUUUUUUGUGUAUGUAUCACAUGAGAAAACGUAUGUUAGUUAUAGAAUAUGCGGUACUGGAUAUGGAGUAGAGGAUAAAUGAAUGACUGUAUUAUUAUUUAUGAAUCAUUGAAAAAGUUGUAGCACUAAAAACAUCCAAGGAUUCAGAUAAAUAAAUGUGACUAAGAAGUUGCUUGGAUAAUUAACCAAAUGAUUUUGAUAAGUACAUCUUCAUCUCAUGUUACUCUCUGACCAUCUCAAAGUUAAACAAAUACAUUUCUCAACCAAAUCAUUUCUUACGUCAAACCAAUCAAAGUUAGCCAGUUUAGCAUUAUUAAUCUUAUUGUUCAUAAAUCAUCAGGACGAUCCAUCAAAAACCAUAAUUCACACAUUGCUUACAUAGAAGCAACCCCUAUAAACAAAGCAAUAACAGUAAUUAUGCUAUACUAGUUAACUUUUGAUCAAUGGCACGGCCGCACGGGUUCGUCAAUGGUUUGAACGAUAACAGUUUGAGCAUUCCUCUAAAUUUAAUUAUAAGCAUGACUGAUUUUAAUUUUUCAAAUAUACUACAUAAUCCAUUAAGAAAAACUCCUUCCUACAUCCUCAAGUAGAUCUAAUAUGUUAAUUAGACUAGACAAAAUAACAAUCUGAUAGUAUAUAGGCUUUAUAUCCUUCAUAAAAAAGUUAUGUUAAUAAAAUAUAACGGUGGGUGCUAUGUUAUUUUGUUUGUUAACUUAGAGCAUGAGUAAUAAAGAUUUUUAGAGUGAGGUUCUUAGUAUAAUAUAGCUAUACGGACUCUUAGUUUUUUUAGUUAAAAACUAAGAUACGUUUCUUAUAUUUUUUAUUUAAAAGAGGUUUUUUAGUUUUCUUAUUAUACUCCCAGAGACCGAUCGCCCACGAACCUAUCAGGAUCCCAGACAGUCGAUUCUGUCUCUUCCCCACUCAUGGCCGAAGCAAUUGCGAUCCGUAACGGGAUCGAGAGGAUGAUCCAAUCAGACAUCCGCUCAACAACAAUCUUCUCGGACUGCUCAACGCUCAUCAGAGCAAUCGUCAGCAAAAGCCAGAUUACAGAGAUCUAUGGUGUCCUACAGGAUAUCCAUCAUCUCUCAUCGCUGUUUGCUUCUAUCAACUUUCAGUUCAUCUCCCGUUCCCAGAACGGAGAAGCUGACUUUCUAGCAAAACGGGCCCUUAAGGCCCAUAAUCCUUCUGCUUCUGUUGUUUAGCUAUUGCCUUCGGGCCCAAACUCUUCCUGCUUUGCUUUAAUUUAUAAAAUCUCGUUGCUCAAAAAAAAAAAAAAUUAUACUCCCAGUUAACUGUAAGGUACAACCGUACAAGUGUACAACUAAAAAAUAAGGUAUCUUUCUUUCUAUUCCCCUUCUUCCCGUUUAACUUUCAUCACGACUCGGUUGUUAUUCCUCGGCGCAGUCCCUUCUUAUCUUCAUCAAAUCACGAAGCAUGAUGCUUAAUUUAUUAAUUAAACAUAUAUGCUUUUAUUAUUAACAAACAUUUCAUACAUCAAUUUCGAGUAGCUUCACAGCUAAUGCUGCUACACUUAGCUUCUCCAAAGUAACAACUUCCAAACACUCAUGACACACAAAUAGAAGUAUGGAUAAUGGCCUCCUAACUAGUCCUUAUUUAUAGCACUUUCAAAGACCGAAAUUUAAGGCAAAAACACAAAUAGAAGUAUGGAUAUAUAGGAUUGAAACAAGAGAAUUCUCCUCUAUUCUUCGGAACAGAGAUGUGCAUCGAGCUCUUUGGAGACCUCGACGGCAAACUGGAGGAGAGUCUCAGGGUGAGCCACCUCCUCGUUAAUUUUCUCGUACUCAAAGUGCCAAUGUACAACACUUCCAGGUUCUCCUUCCUUAGGGGUCACUUGUAAGGUGAUCACGAAACUUUUGUACUCGUUCAUUACAUCACCCUCUAACACCCUGUACGUGACCCUAUUGUUCUCCGGGUCUAUUGACUCGAUCCUCUCUUUCAUUACUCUUGCCUCCCCAUCUGACCACAAAUUUAUAGGUUUGAGAUUGUUAGAAAUCUUGCAUUUGAAUAAGAUUCAUAUAUGUGUAUAUAUGGAUCAAUCCAGCCAUUUCAAAUUGGUUUUGAUUCAAAAGUUAGUAUAUUUUAAUAUAGAUUCGCUAUGCUUGUAUUCAUAUAACUAGAGAAUUAUAGCGUUGACUUGCCAUGAAAGUAAUUCCAGGUUACGACAGAACCAACUUGGCCCAUUUCGCCUUCAUGCAGCUCACAGCCAUGAACGAAGGAUGGAGAUGCACUGGGGAUAUGGUGCUUUUUCCCGACAAACAUGUCAUGCAACUUCUCCGGUGAAGAUUUUAUCUCCACGGUGGUCUCAAUGAUCCCGACCAAACUAGAUGCUUCUUCCGCCAUUCUUGAUCUCCCGAUAAUUUGCAAAUGUCUCUUAGAGUUUUGAGUUUUGAGGAUGAAUGUGAUCCCUUCUUAGCUCUUUACCUCCGUUUAAAUAGAAGAACGAAUGAAGCGAGAAAUAGACUGGAAGUUAUUUUAUCACUAAUAAUUUUGAUUAGUCUUUCUUCUCUUUGAUCACGUUAACCCAUCUGACGCUAAUUGAUAAGGCAAAAUUAUUAGAUAAUUAAUAUAAAAAAAUGUAAACGCUAAAGCUAUAUAAAAUAUCAUUCGUAACUCGUGUCACAACAAAAAAAUGAUUAGUAGAAUUAGUGGGAAAGCAGUCAGUUCGUGAGCCUAAAAGAAAUAAGAUAAAAUGAUCUUGGUUUAGGGUUUCAUAAGUCAUGAACCAUAUUGGUUAACUUAAGAUAAAUGAAAUCAUUCAAAUUUUUCGAUGACACAAUUCUAUUCAGUUUUUUAUUGAUAAAUUUCUUGAAAAGUUCUUACUCCGAAAAUAAUAAGUAUUUAUAUUUCUGGAUAAUCUCUAUACCUAUAUAUACGAUCAUCCUUCUAACAAAUCCUAUAAGAUAUAUUCCGUAAAUGGAUUACACGUUGUUAUUUCAUUAUUUUUAAAAGAUAAAUAAGUAUUUAUAGGUUGAAAAAGGUGUUUAUCCGGGAGCUGCAUCUCUUUAAGUGGAACGAAAACGGAAGUUCAGAAUUUAAAAUAUCUCCCCAUUCUGAUUUAAGGUCCGGAAUUUAUUUUCAUGUGUUUGUUCACUAACCCCACAGGUCACAUAGUUUGAUUUUUGAUCAAAUAAACAUACUUAUCAAACUUCAUUACUAUAAUAAUAUCUCCUUUUGGUAUAUGAUAAAAGAUAAUGUCUACCAUGCCCCGUGUACGUGUAGACCAAGUUUUGAAAAAAUAUUUGGUAAAGUCACCAUGGAUAUUGAUUUUAAUACUAUAUACUCCUUCUGUUUUUAAAUAAGUAUCACUUUAGAGAUUAAGGAAUUUGUAUAAUUGACUAUCAUAUUCCUAUUUAAUGUUUGAUUAAUUAAAUAAAAAUGAUUUAAAUAAAAAUCUAUUGGUUAUUCAAAAAAGUAAAAACUAGAUUUAAUAUACAAAAUAACAUUGAAAUGGUAGAAUGUUGCUUUUUCUGAUGCAAAAUGAAAAAAAAUCUAAACUGACACGUAUUAUUAAAUAUAUGGAGUAUAAAUUGAGAAAAGUCUAGGGAGAAUUGGUAUUAAUCAAAUCGAAAAAUUAUUUUUGUUGCUUUUGAUGGAUCAUGUUUUAGUUUAUCUAUGGCUACUAGAGAUUUUAUUUCUUCCAUGGAGCUUAGGUAUGAUAUGAAGGUUGCAUUUGAAGCUAGUCUCAGAGGAACAAAAGUAAAGGCUCGCCUCGUGAAACUUGUGAAAGUCAAUUGAUGCAAGAGUUUUGUUUCACUUCUCCAAUAGCGUAGAUGCGUCUUUCCUCGAUCUCACCACUAUAGGUGAGGUCGAUAAGCGUCUACCCUUGUCUGAAACAGAUGCACAAUCUAUUUCUUCUCUGCACCGAAGAGAGAGCAAUGACACAUGUCUGAGUACAUACACUGAUACACAAAUAACACAACUCCCUUAAACCAUGAAAGCACAUUAUCAUAAACACACUCUUCAACUUAGAUAAAACAUAGCUUCUCUGACCUCAUGGCCGAAUAUGUCCCUUUAUUAUUUUCAAACGUACAUCAAACACUAGCAAACAUAAACUUGAAGUAGUCUUGAGGAAGCGUUACUUCUUUUACAUAUCGAUUCAAAUUAAAACUUCAAACAUAAUCCGGCCUUAAUAUUAUUCAUACACGGAUGAGUCGACACACACCAAGUCACCAACAUAUACCUCUUACCCAAACUAGGACACAGCUCAUUAUUUGUUGAAAGCUUCGAAGACACAAAGAUGCACAAACUUAACAAACACACGAAGAGUAAUCCUCUAUUAUUCUGUCAAGAGAUAUUCAUCGAUAUCUUUUGACACUUCAACACUUAACUGGAGGUGACUUUCAGGGUGUUCAACUUCUUCGCUGACUUUCUCGUACUCAAGGUCCCAGUGCACAAUAC